RNAcentral lists this ribosomal RNA (495 nucleotides) under uncultured bacterium. RNAcentral's name for it is "partial 16S ribosomal RNA". It matches the Rfam family "Bacterial small subunit ribosomal RNA", at positions 28 to 507 of the family's 1533-position model. The record is from RNAcentral.
GAUGAACGCUGGCGGCGUGCCUAAUACAUGCAAGUAGAACGCUGAAGGAGGAGCUUGCUCUUCUGGAUGAGUUGCGAACGGGUGAGUAACGCGUAGGUAACCUGCCUGGUAGCGGGGGAUAACUAUUGGAAACGAUAGCUAAUACCGCAUGACAACAGUUAUUGCAUGAUAACUGUUUAAAAGGGGCAACUGCUCCACUACCAGAUGGACCUGCGUUGUAUUAGCUAGUUGGUGAGGUAACGGCUCACCAAGGCGACGAUACAUAGCCGACCUGAGAGGGUGAUCGGCCACACUGGGACUGAGACACGGCCCAGACUCCUACGGGAGGCAGCAGUAGGGAAUCUUCGGCAAUGGACGGAAGUCUGACCGAGCAACGCCGCGUGAGUGAAGAAGGGUUUCGGAUCGUAAAGCUCUGUUGUAAGAGAAGAACGAGUGCGAGAGUGGAAAGUUCACACUGUGACGGUAUCUUACCAGAAAGGGACGGCUAACUACGUG